This 2528-nucleotide ribosomal RNA is filed under the name Galeopsis porcellanicus. Its description in RNAcentral is "partial large subunit ribosomal RNA". It matches the Rfam family "Eukaryotic large subunit ribosomal RNA", at positions 23 to 2292 of the family's 3401-position model. The record is from RNAcentral. Lineage: Eukaryota; Metazoa; Bryozoa; Gymnolaemata; Cheilostomatida; Celleporidae.
ACCCGCUGAACUUAAGCAUAUCAGUAAGCGGAGGAAAAGAAACUAACUAGGAUUCCCCGAGUAGCGGCGAGCGAAAGGGGAGAAGCCCAGCGCCGAAGCCCGCCACCCUCCGGUGGCCGUGCAAUGUGGCGUUUCGGCGGCGACUCGCAGCGUCCGCUCUGACACGAGUACCUCUGAAUGGGUCGGCCCGUAGCGGGUGUCAGGCCUCUACCUGUCAGAUUGAGCGGGCGCGGCACGUCGUCGUCGCGGAGUCGGGUUGCUUGAGAGUGCAGCCCAAAGUGGGUGGUAAGCUCCAUCUAAGGCUAAAUACCUAGUGCGAGACCGAUAGCAAACAAGUACCGUGAGGGAAAGUUGCAAAGAACUUUGAAAAGAGAGUUCAAGAGUACGUGAAACCGUUCAGAGGCAAACGGACGGAACUGGGCGAGUUCGCCGUCGUCAUUCAGCCGUCGCGUUCGCGCGGCGGUGCACUUGGCGGCGGCGGAGCGCGACGACCGUCUGCCGGGUCGUCGGAAGCACGGCGGCAAGGUGGCGACGCGCUCGCGCGUCGUGUUACAGGCCGGCCGAUGCGUUGACUGACUUGGCGGGCGAGGAGCGCCUGCGGUGCACUCCCCCUUCGGGCGGGAGUGACCCGACGUGGUGGGCUUGCGGACGCCGGCGACGAACUGCUCGCAGUUUGACGUCGCGCGCUCUGUCUGUCGCGCCGCGCGGUGUCACGAGGCACCCAGGGUCCGGGUCGUGUGGUUCCUGGCACUCCGUCCGACCCGUCUUGAAACACGGACCAAGGAGUUGAGCACGCGCGCGAGUCGAUGGGCAUCAUGAACCCCAGUGGCGCAGCUAAGGCAAAACGGGCGUGAUCCGGCACUGGCGUGUCGGCGCAACGCCGGCCCGCGGCCGACUCGAUGCGAGUAGCCGCGGCGCAAGAGCGUGCGUGCUCAGACCCGAAAGGUGGUGAACUAUGCUUGAGCAGGGCGAAGCCAGAGGAAACUCUGGUGGAGGCUCGCAGCGAUCCUGACGUGCAAAUCGGUCGUCAAACUUGAGCAUAGGGGCGAAAGACUAAUCGAACCGCCUAGUAGCUGGUUCCCUCCGAAGUUUCCCUCAGGAUAGCUGGCACUCGGGAUAAAUGGUUUUAUCCGGUAAAGCGAAUGAUUAGAGGCAUUGGGGACGAAACGUCCUCAACCUAUUCUCAAACUUUAAAUGGGUAAGAAGCGCGGCCCUUCCCUAUCGGGGCCGCGUGCUUGAACAGAGAGUGCCCAGUGGGCCGUUUUUGGUAAGCAGAACUGGCGCUGUGGGAUGAACCAAACGCGCGGUUAGGGUGCCUAACGCACGCUCAUGAGACACCACAAAAGGUGUUGGUUGAUAUAGACAGCAGGACGGUGGCCAUGGAAGUCGGAACCCGCUAAGGAGUGUGUAACAACUCACCUGCCGAAUCAACUAGCCCUGAAAAUGGAUGGCGCUGGAGCGUGCGACCCAUACCGCGCCGUCGGGGCAAUGCGUGCGUAAUGCCAGGCCCCGACGAGUAGGAGGGCGUGUCGGUGGCGUUGAAGCGUAGCGCGUGAGCGCGCGUGGAGCCGCCUUCAGUGCAGAUCUUGGUGGUAGUAGCAAGUAUACAAAUGAGAACUUUGUAGACCGAAGUGGAGAAGGGUUCCAUGUGAACAGCAGUUGGACAUGGGUCAGUCGGCCCUAAGAGAUCGGAGAAUUCCGUUCUGAACGGGGAAGACGCGUCGCGUGCACGGCCGUCAGAAUCACAUCUGAGAGCGGCGCGUCACGCGCUCGCGCUUGUCACACCCCGAUGCGAUCGAAAGGGAAUCGGGUUAAUAUUCCCGAACCUGGCAGUGGAGAUUGGGCUCUCGGGCCCCAGUGCGGUAACGCAACCGAACUCGGAGACGCCAGCGUCGAUCCCGGGAAGAGUUCUCUUUUCUUUGUUAGGAGCGGACUCCCUGGAAUUGGCUUGUCCAGAGAUAGGGACGUUGCAUCCGUAAAGCGUCGCGCCUCACGCGGCGUCCGGUGCAUCGGCGUUGGCCCUUGAAAAUCCGAGGGAGGCAGUGUAAUUUUCACUCCAGGCCGUACCCGAAUCCGCAGCAGGUCUCCAAGGUGAACAGCCUCUGGUCGAUAGAACAAUGUAGGUAAGGGAAGUCGGCAAAUCCGAUCCGUAACUUCGGGACAAGGAUUGGCUCUGAGGUGCGGGCUGCUUCGGGUCGCGGCAGGAAGCGGGCCGUGCGUUGGUUGGACUGGACGCGUUUGCGCGCGUUCGGACCGCCGCCAGCGCGCGUCCGUGGGAGGCCGUGGCUUUCGGCGGCGUGGGACUCGUGCCCGCGUCGCCUUCGUUCGGCCUAAACGCACAGCACAGAACUGGCACGGACUCUGGGAACACGACUGUCUAAUUAAAACAAAGCAUCGCGAUGGCCGCUGGUCGGUGUUGACGCGAUGUGAUUUCUGCCCAGUGCUUUGAAUGUCAAAGUGAAGAAAUUCAACCAAGCGCAGGUAAACGGCGGGAGUAACUAUGACUCUCUUAAGGUAGCCAAAUGCCU